Long non-coding RNA from Oncorhynchus tshawytscha (Chinook salmon), 461 nucleotides. NCBI's taxonomy places the organism in Eukaryota, Metazoa, Chordata, Actinopteri, Salmoniformes, Salmonidae. The record is from Ensembl.
CACAAAUUUAUUCCUUUCAGAAAAUAACUUACAUUCCAGAACACACACAUUGUGACAGCAUAUUUCCAGUGUUCCUUUUCUUGUAAUUUUUCUUAAGUUGCAUUUACACAGGAAGCCCAAUUCUGAUCUUUUGGCCCCAAUAUUGGCAAAAGAUCUGAUCUGAUUGGGCAAGAGAUCAGAAUUGGGCAACCGGUGUGAACGUAGCCUUACACACAGUAAAGAGGUUAGACAUUGCAUUAUCAGAAGGAUUUCUGGCGGAUAUAUUUACACGUACAGUACAUUCAGAUCAACAUCAUAAAAAGGUCCAUCCUAUCAGAUCAGUGAUAAAAAGGUCCAUCCUAUCAGAUCAGCGUGAUAAAAAGGUCCAUCCUAUCAGAUCAGCGUGAUAAAAAGGUCCAUCCUAUCAGAUCAGCGUGAUAAAAAGGUCCAUCCUAUCAGAUCUGCGUGAUAAAAAGGUCCAU